GACGUAGGGCGCGAGCGUUGUCCGGAUUUAUUGGGCGUAAAGAGCUCGUAGGCGGCUUGUCGCGUCGACUGUGAAAUCCCGCGGCUCAACUGCGGGUCUGCAGUCGAUACGGGCAGGCUAGAGUUCGGUAGGGGAGACUGGAAUUCCUGGUGUAGCGGUGAAAUGCGCAGAUAUCAGGUGGAACACCGAUGGCGAAGGCAGUGAUCUGGGCCAGUACUGACGCUGAGGAGCGAAAGCGUGGGGAGCAAACAGG
RNAcentral lists this ribosomal RNA (253 nucleotides) under uncultured bacterium. RNAcentral's name for it is "partial 16S ribosomal RNA". It matches the Rfam family "Bacterial small subunit ribosomal RNA", at positions 524 to 776 of the family's 1533-position model. The record is from RNAcentral.